RNAcentral lists this long non-coding RNA (201 nucleotides) under Manihot esculenta (cassava). RNAcentral describes it as "long non-coding RNA (MESC_LNC002184)". Lineage: Eukaryota; Viridiplantae; Streptophyta; Magnoliopsida; Malpighiales; Euphorbiaceae. The record is from RNAcentral.
UUAGAUUCCUUAAAUAAUGAAAAAUUUUAUAGGAUUAUUAUUGGAUUGAUUAAAUAAUGAAUUAAUAAUUAAAAUAUUAAUCAAAGCAAAUUCCCUUUUUCUAACAACCAAGCACCUUGAUCCAAAAGAAUGGAUUCAAGGGGACAGACUUUGUUAAUUUGUGAUGCUUUCUAUUUAGUAAUUAAGUUUUAAAGGUCUAAC